RNAcentral lists this ribosomal RNA (255 nucleotides) under uncultured bacterium. Its description in RNAcentral is "partial 16S ribosomal RNA". It matches the Rfam family "Bacterial small subunit ribosomal RNA", at positions 524 to 776 of the family's 1533-position model. The record is from RNAcentral.
CACGUAGGGCGCAAGCGUUGUCCGGAAUUUAUUGGGCGUAAAGAGCUCGUAGGCGGUCUGUUGCGUCUGCUGUGAAAACUCGGGGCUUAACCCCCGAGCCUGCAGUGGAUACGGGCAGACUAGAGGUAGGUAGGGGAGACUGGAAUUCCUGGUGUAGCGGUGAAAUGCGCAGAUAUCAGGAGGAACACCGGUGGCGAAGGCGGGUCUCUGGGCCGAUACUGACGCUGAGGAGCGAAAGCGUGGGGAGCGAACAGG